This 91-nucleotide transfer RNA is filed under the name Tepidimonas sp. RNAcentral's name for it is "tRNA-Ser". It matches the Rfam family "tRNA". Rfam says of the family: Transfer RNA (tRNA) molecules are approximately 80 nucleotides in length. Lineage: Bacteria; Pseudomonadati; Pseudomonadota; Betaproteobacteria; Burkholderiales. The record is from RNAcentral.
GGAGAGAUGGAUGAGCGGUUUAAGUCGCACGCCUGGAAAGCGUGUAGGGGUUAACAGCCCCUCGGGGGUUCGAAUCCCCCUCUCUCCGCCA